UACGGGGGGGGCAAGCGUUGUUCGGAAUUACUGGGCGUAAAGGGUGCGUAGGCGGUUCGCUAAGUCGGAUGUGAAAACUCUGGGCUCAACCCAGAGCCUGCAUCCAAAACUGGCGGGCUAGAGUUCUGGAGGGGGUAGCGGAAUUCCUGGUGUAGCGGUGAAAUGCGUAGAUAUCAGGAGGAACACCGGUGGCGAAGGCGCUGCUCUGGGCCGAAACUGACGCUGAGGAGCGAAAGCGUGGGUAGCAAACAGG
RNAcentral lists this ribosomal RNA (253 nucleotides) under uncultured bacterium. RNAcentral's name for it is "partial 16S ribosomal RNA". It matches the Rfam family "Bacterial small subunit ribosomal RNA", at positions 524 to 776 of the family's 1533-position model. The record is from RNAcentral.